UGAAGGUCAUUUUCCGCAUUUUGGGUGGUUCAGGUACAUAUAUAAAGACUGGGUUCCUAUCUGACCGUGUUGUCCCAGAAUCUACAGCUGUAGUGCUUAAUGUUUUUCAUACCUCAAGCACUAAACAUGAAGCUAUUGGCUGCAGCCAUCCUUUUGUUAUUUCUUGGCUUGGCUAUAGGAACAUACGUUGUGCCAUACUACCCUUCUCUCGCUUCCAUUGCAGCUGCCCCCUACCCUAUUGUCUACUCUUAUAACUAUGGAUAUUCUGCUCCCUUAUCAGCUGUGUGGCCAUUAUGGUAUGGCAAGUAACCAGAAUGUGUCGAAAAAUGGAGGAGGAAAGCAAGGUACUUCGAGAUACAGCAGUAUUAAUACAGCAGAUAUUUUCAAAAAAACACCUACCAAAAGAUUGUAAUUAAUCGAAUUUAUUGAAUAUGAAUAAAGUUUAUUUUUGUUAGUA
This is a long non-coding RNA of Stegodyphus dumicola, 457 nucleotides long. RefSeq lists it as uncharacterized. The record is from RefSeq and is a predicted model, not a curated record. NCBI's taxonomy places the organism in Eukaryota, Metazoa, Arthropoda, Arachnida, Araneae, Eresidae.